This 1205-nucleotide unclassified non-coding RNA is filed under the name Hevea brasiliensis (rubber tree). Lineage: Eukaryota; Viridiplantae; Streptophyta; Magnoliopsida; Malpighiales; Euphorbiaceae. The record is from RNAcentral.
GUUAUUAGUAUGUUUUGUGUUCUGUUUCAUAAAUUGUAGUAUAAUAUGAAUCUUUAAUGUUGAAGUCAGCUGCUCGCAUUUUAUUUCUCAGAGACAUUAUGACAUUGGUUGAAAUUAUAUCAGAUGUAGGACGAUUAAGUAUAGGGGCCUUCUCAAGGAUGGAUUAGCCAAUAUCCAAAGUAGUUCUCUCUCUCUCCUGUAGCAAUUGAAUGAUAUAUUUCCUUAAGAGUUAGAUGACAAUAUAUUUUUCUUAAAAAUUUAUGCGUGUAUUGGGACAUUAUAGGAAAGGAAGGUCAGUGCAUUUUGAGGUAAGGGUAGGGGAUGUGAAAUAAAGGAAGGGAAACUAUUUUCCGUGGCAUUACCGGACAGAAGUUAUAGAGAUCACUCAAAACAAUUUUUAAUCUAUUGAAUUUCUCUAACACAGAGCUAUAUUUGAGCUAAUAUUGAAACUGCAUUUAUCAUGGCAAUGUCCUCCUUGGUUGCUCUUGAUGCUAAUUAGAUCCUUGGCAAUUGCUUAUGAUACCUUCUAUGUACAUUUCUACUUAUUUAAUUUAUGUAACAUUGUAUAAGUUCAUUCAAUCACCACAUAUAUCUUUAUAAACCAACAAACUUCUCAUUGAUUUGAGGACUGCUGAACAACAAAUUCCCCUAAUAAUUUAUUGUUGUAUUAAUGAGUUUACUAGAAGACUUGCUUCCCACCCAUAAUUGUUGGCUGAAAUUGAGAAUGGGUCGAUCUAUCUUUGUAAUUAUUUAUGUAAUCUUUGAAGUUUUCCUGUGCUCAAGUUUCUGAUAUGCUCUUUUGUAUGCUUGAAAGAUAAUUAACAGGUUAAAUGUCCAUAUCCUAAUUGUGCAAUUCAUAAUUGAGAUAUAAGGGUUGAUGUGGAUUUUCUUUGCAUUUUUUUGGCAUUUCCAAAAUAGUAAUUUUUACUGCUUUGCAGAAAGAGCAUAUUCCUUUACAGCUAGUGAUCCAUUUUAUAUGCAUCUUCCUCUCUCCUUUUUUGGGAUACUUUUCUAUCUUGGCUUUUCCAUGUUGCUUCUCUUAUAGUCUUUGUAUGCUUCUUGCGUUUUCAGAUGCAACAUUAGGUCAUUCAAUCAACUUUUGUUACUAAUAUGCAUGUCUAUUCCUUUCAACCAAAUUCCCCUUGAACUCAUAGAUAACAAAUUGAAACUAUGAAUGUUUUCAGGAUAUAGAGGCUAAUAAUAGA